GGUUAAGCAAUUAAUCUAGAUGAAUUGAGAACUAGCAAAUUAACUGAAUCAAGCGUUUUGGUAUANNNNNNNNNNNNNNNNNNNNNNNNNNNNNNNNNNNNNNNNNNNNNNNNNNNNNNNNNNNNNNNNNNNNNNNNNNNNNNNNNNNNNNNNNNNNNNNNGCAAGGUUAACCGUAUAGGGGAGCCGUAGAGAAAUCGAGUCUUAAUAGGGCGUUUAGUUGCUGGGUAUAGACCCGAAACCAGGCGAUCUAUCCAUGAGCAGGUUGAAGGUUGGGUAACACUAACUGGAGGACCGAACCCACUGUCGUUGAAAAGCCAGGGGAUGACUUGUGGAUAGGGGUGAAAGGCUAAUCAAGCCUGGUGAUAGCUGGUUCUCCCCGAAAGCUAUUUAGGUAGCGCCUCGGACGAAUACCAUAGGGGGUAGAGCACUGUUUCGGCUAGGGGGUCAUCCCGACUUACCAAACCGAUGCAAACUCCGAAUACCUAUGAGUACUAUCCGGGAGACAGACUGCGGGUGCUAACGUCCGUAGUCAAGAGGAAAACAAUCCAGACCGCCAGCUAAGGCCCCAAAAUCAUAGUUAAGUGGGAAACGAUGUGGGAAGGCAUAGACAGCUAGGAGGUUGGCUUAGAAGCAGCCACCCUUUAAAGAAAGCGUAAUAGCUCACUAGUCGAGUCGGCCUGCGCGGAAGAUGUAACGGGGCUAAAACUAUGUGCCGAAGCUGCGGAUGUAUACUUUGUAUACGUGGUAGGGGAGCGUUCUGUAAGCCGAUGAAGGUGUGUUGAGAAGCAUGCUGGAGGUAUCAGAAGUGCGAAUGCUGACGUGAGUAACGACAAAACGGGUGAAAAACCCGUUCGCCGAAAGACCAAGGGUUCCAGUCCAACGUUAAUCGGGGCUGGGUGAGUCGACCCCUAAGGCGAGGCCGAAAGGCGUAGUCGAUGGGAAAAUGGUUAAUAUUCCAUUACUUCUGUGUAAUGCGAUGAGAGGACGGAGAAGGCUAAAUCAGCCUGGCGUUGGUUGUCCAGGUGAAAGGAUGUAGGCAUGUAUCUUAGGCAAAUCCGGGGUACUCUAUGCUGAGAUCUGAUAGCAAGCUGUACUUGUACAGCGAAGUGGUUGAUGCCAUGCUUCCAGGAAAAGUCUCUAAGCUUCAGUUACACAGGAAUCGUACCCGAAACCGACACAGGUGGUCAGGUCGAGUAGACCAAGGCGCUUGAGAGAACUCUGCUGAAGGAACUAGGCAAAAUGGUACCGUAACUUCGGGAGAAGGUACGCUGUUGUUGGUGAUGGAACUCGCUUCCUGAGCUGACGACAGCCGCAGAAACCAGGCCGCUGCAACUGUUUAUUAAAAACAUAGCACUCUGCAAACACGAAAGUGGACGUAUAGGGUGUGAUGCCUGCCCGGUGCUGGAAGGUUAAUUGAUGGGGUUAGCGUAAGCGAAGCUCUUGAUCGAAGCCCCAGUAAACGGCGGCCGUAACUAUAACGGUCCUAAGGUAGCGAAAUUCCUUGUCGGGUAAGUUCCGACCUGCACGAAUGGCAUAAUGAUGGCGGCGCUGUCUCCAGCAGAGGCUCAGUGAAAUCGAAAUCGCUGUGAAGAUGCAGUGUACCCGCGGCUAGACGGAAAGACCCCGUGAACCUUUACUGCAGCUUGACACUGAACUUUGACCUUACUUGUGUAGGAUAGGUGGGAGGCUUUGAAGCUGGAACGCUAGUUCCAGUGGAGCCGUCCUUGAAAUACCACCCUGGUAAUGUUGAGGUUCUAACUCUGUCCCGUGAUCCGGGACGAGGACCGUGUCUGGUGGGUAGUUUGACUGGGGCGGUCUCCUCCUAAAGAGUAACGGAGGAGUACGAAGGUGCGCUCAGCGUGGUCGGAAAUCACGCGUAGAGUAUAAAGGCAAAAGCGCGCUUAACUGCGAGACCCACAAGUCGAGCAGGUACGAAAGUAGGUCUUAGUGAUCCGGUGGUUCUGUAUGGAAGGGCCAUCGCUCAACGGAUAAAAGGUACUCUGGGGAUAACAGGCUGAUACCGCCCAAGAGUUCAUAUCGACGGCGGUGUUUGGCACCUCGAUGUCGGCUCAUCUCAUCCUGGGGCUGAAGCAGGUCCCAAGGGUAUGGCUGUUCGCCAUUUAAAGAGGUACGCGAGCUGGGUUUAGAACGUCGUGAGACAGUUCGGUCCCUAUCUACCGUGGGCGCUGGAAAUUUGAGAGGAUCUGCUCCUAGUACGAGAGGACCAGAGUGGACGAACCUCUGGUGUACCGGUUGUGACGCCAGUCGCAUCGCCGGGUAGCUAUGUUCGGAAGGGAUAACCGCUGAAAGCAUCUAAGCGGGAAGCCUACCUCAAGAUAAGAUUUCCCUAGGACUUUAUGUCCUCUAAAGAGCCGUUCGAGACUAGGACGUUGAUAGGUUGGAUGUGGAAGCAUAGUGAUAUGUGAAGCUGACCAAUACUAAUUGCUCGUGAGGCUUGACUAU
Molecule: ribosomal RNA, 2464 nt
Filed under: Acinetobacter baumannii
Lineage: Bacteria; Pseudomonadati; Pseudomonadota; Gammaproteobacteria; Moraxellales; Moraxellaceae
Description: 23S ribosomal RNA
Rfam family: Bacterial large subunit ribosomal RNA
Source: RNAcentral